This 258-nucleotide ribosomal RNA is filed under the name uncultured bacterium. RNAcentral describes it as "partial 16S ribosomal RNA". It matches the Rfam family "Bacterial small subunit ribosomal RNA", at positions 96 to 354 of the family's 1533-position model. The record is from RNAcentral.
CGGCGGACGGGUGAGUAACGCGUGGAAAACCUGCCGUAUACUGGGGGAUAACACUUAGAAAUAGGUGCUAAUACCGCAUAAGCGCACAGCUUCGCAUGAAGCGGUGUGAAAAACUCUGGUGGUAUACGAUGGUUCCGCGUCUGAUUAGCUAGUUGGUGGGGUAAUGGCCUACCAAGGCAACGAUCAGUAGCCGGCCUGAGAGGGUGAACGGCCACAUUGGGACUGAGACACGGCCCAAACUCCUACGGGAGGCAGCAG